RNAcentral lists this long non-coding RNA (5338 nucleotides) under Citrus x clementina. RNAcentral describes it as "Citrus clementina (C. clementina) long non-coding RNA (CCLE_LNC001321)". The record is from RNAcentral. Lineage: Eukaryota; Viridiplantae; Streptophyta; Magnoliopsida; Sapindales; Rutaceae.
GCAUGAAAUUGCAGGGGAAGUGACAGAAGUUGGUAGCAAAGUAAGAAAGGUUAAAGUGGGAGAUAAAGUUGGAGUUGGAUGCAUGGUCGGUGCAUGCCACAGCUGCGAGAGCUGUGCCAAUGACCUUGAAAAUUACUGUCCGAAAAUGAUACUCACCUACAGUUCCAUUAACACUGACGGAACAAUCACAUACGGAGGCUACUCUGAUCACAUGGUUGCCAAUGAGCGCUACAUUGUUCGAUUCCCUGAUAGCAUGCCCCUUGAUGCUGCUGCCCCCCUGCUUUGCGCCGGGAUUACCGUGUACAGUCCAUUGAAAUACUUUGGACUAGCAGAACAAGGAAAGCAUGUAGGCAUCGUUGGCCUUGGCGGGCUUGGUCAUGUCGCUGUCAAAUUUGCCAAGGCUUUUGGGGCCAAAGUGACAGUAAUUAGCACCUCUCCAAGCAAGAAGACUGAAGUUCUUGAACAUCUUGGCGCUGAUUCAUUUUUGAAUAGCCGUGACCCUGACCAAUUGCAGGUAAUUUAAUUAGAUUCACGCAUAUAUUGGAGAAAAAUAAAAAAUAAAAUGCAUUCCUUAAUUUUAAUAUAUAUUUUGUAAUAACUUCAUCAGGGUGCUAUGGGCACAUUGGAUGGUAUUAUUGACACGGUGUCCGCUGUGCACCCCAUUUUGCCAUUGGUCGGUCUAUUAAAGUCCCAGGGCAAGCUUGUUCUGGUUGGUGCUCCGGACAAGCCACUCGAGCUACCUGUGAUUUCCUUAAUUAUGGGUAAGUUCUAACAAAAUUCUUCGGAAACUUGUGGUCUAAAACUUGUAAUUAAUAUAAUUCAUUUGAUAACAUAAAAUGACAUAGCAGGGAGGAAGACGGUGUCAGGGAGCAGCACUGGGGGAAUGAAAGAGACGCAAGAGAUGAUUGAUUUUGCAGCAAAACACAAUAUAACAGCUGACAUUGAGGUUAUUUCGAUGGAUUAUGUCAAUACGGCAAUGGAGAGGCUUGCCAAGGCUGAUGUUCGGUAUCGAUUUGUCAUUGAUAUUGCAAACACCUUGUACGCCACCAAACCUUGAAGAAUCAGAAUCAGAUUGAUGUCUUCAAUUCACAACCUUGUUCCAUGAUCCACUUUGCUAUAUGUAAUGCUCCCUCGAUCAUUACACUCUUUUAGCGCUUAAAUUACUUUUAAUUUCCAGUUACAUCGACCCUAAUUAUGUCGUGAUUGCCGAAAAACUAUAAAUGUUAAUGAAAUAAAACAUUGUUCAUAUAAAAUAUUUAGCAUAUGUACCUUUCACCAAUUGUCCAGUCGAAAUGUUUGUUUUUGUUCUAAAUCACAUAUAGAGUUUUGCUCUCAUGCGGCACUUUUCAUUUUUUGUUCUUCUCAUACCAACGCUAUCCAGUCAUAUAAUUCAAUAAAAUUAGUAUCGAUGGCAGAAAUCUAUAAAAUCAUAUUCGCAAAGGUACGUAGCAACAGCAGCGUCUAGGUUCCUCUGACCUUGAACAAAAAUAUACGAUUGGUCUAAAUAACUCAUGAAUUCAUAUCACAAUUUUCAACACUGCAUGUAUGUUUUCCAGCAGAAAAUUUCUUAGGAUUAGGGUUUAGUGCUAUGUUGAAUUUUUAUCGAGUAUUGAAUCAAUCAUUGAAUUAAUAGUUAUAAUUGUUUUAAAUUUUUCAAUUUUUACAAUUUCUUCUAUUAAUAACUAUUGAUUCAAUAUUCAGUAAAAAUUUAAUUUAGCGCGCAAUCCUUAUUCGACUUUGCAACCAAAGAAAACAAACAAAACUUCAUCCGUCAAUGGAAGCAUUUUCUUAGGACCUCACGGUUCACCCCCAAUGUUGAUGCAUGGUGGAUGAUUCUAUCAAGAUGAAUAUAGUUCAAGUUUUACCACCCCAUCAAAUCUAUCAUGAAAUUUCAUUUAUUCUUUUUUUUUUUUUGGUAGAUCUUAAUAUGUACUAUGAUUGAAAAAGAGAGAGAGAGAAUAGUAAAAUCCAUAUUUAAAAUGGUAUGUGGUAUGUACAUAGUAGUACAUGAUCUAUAAUGGUAUGUAUAUGAUGUACAUGAUAUGAUCUAAUCUCUGCUUGUGUACAUUAUGAAAUGUAAUAUUUUUAUCAUAUUUAGGAGGAUAAACGUCUUAUUAUUUAAGAUAAUAAUUGUUAAUGUGUACAUUAUAAAUACUCAUCAUCUGGUUAUUCUAGAAGGCUCUUUGAUAGGAUUCUAUUGGUAUUUGAAAAAAAAUAUCAAUAUUCUCCCACUUUAAUUAAUUUUUUUCCAAGAUGUUUAAUAAAUAAAUUUUAAGUAUAAAAAAUAUCAAUAUUCUCCCAGUUUAAAAAAAUUCACAAAAAAAAAUUAUUUUUAAAAAUAAUUACACAAAUUUAUUAUUAUUUUUAUUUAAUUUAAAUUUAACUGCAAGAUUUUUAAAAAUUCAAAAGAAUUUAAAUUAAGAAAAGAUCUUAUCUUUUUAAAAAUAUAUAAAUUUAAUUUUUUAUUCAACAAUAGUUAUACAAUACCUUAUGAUCUUCUUUUAUGUUAAAAAGUAAAAAAACUACAAAAUUCACAUUAGCCUUUAAAAUUUAUCAAAAAAAAUAUUUGUAAUUAUUUAAAAAAAAAUCAAAAUUUUUGUGAUCAUUAAUUCCAACGAAUCAGCGCGCUGGGUUCUCAUUUUGCCGUAAGUCUCAUAAUGGUUGUUGGUGGUGUUGCUUUUGACAGGUACCCCACGUUUGAGUUUGUGACACUAGGAAUUGAAUAGUAAUAAUAAUGGUGAAGGUGACCCAAGAAUUACCUUUGCUGGUCCGCCAUGUCAUGGACGGUGCACAUCCAUACAUAGAGCAUCCGUAUGUCACAUCUUAGCUCACUGAUUACUUCAGCAAAAUUUAUGACCCCCUCUCUCCACCUCCCUGCUGUUAGCCUGUUCCCGAUAAUUAUUAUUUUUGAGAUGCUCGAAAAUAAUUUUAAAGUUAAAAACUGAUUUUUUAUAUAUAUUAGGAAAUUUUAAAAUUAUUCAUAUUAAUUAUAAAAUAAAAUUAUUUUGAAGAGAUUAUUAUCAUUAUCAAUAAUAUUGAGAUGAAAAAAUUAUUAUAUAUAUUAUGUUUAUUAUUAAUUAUUAUAUAUACACAAUAAAAAUUAUUAUACAUAUAUUAAAUAAAUUUUAUUUAAUAUUAUAUCUAAUUUAAGAAUGAUCAAAAUUUUAAUUUACUCUUUUUUCAAUAAAUUAUUUAUGCAUCACAUCUAAUAAUGAUUAUUUUAAAAAUUAUAAUAUUAUCAAAUUAGCCCUUAUUAUAUAUAUUUUUUUCUCAAUUAGGACAUCUUCACUUUAUUAAGAUUAAGAUGUUAAAAAAAUAUUAAAAAAAUAUCUCGUCUUUAAUGCAUUAAAAAAUUAAGAUUAUAUUUUUCUAUCCGUUAAUAACUUAAUAUAUUGAAAUCAUCACUAAAUCAGUUGUUAAAUCCACGAUUACACAGUUAUAUUAACUAAAUUUAACGGCUGAAAGUAACUGUGGUACCAUAUUAUAGUUACAACAUAACUGGACCUCACUAAAUAAUGAAUAUAUUAUAAAAUAAAAAAUUUUAUAUUAAAUUUUAUAUUUAUAUUUUUUAAUUUAUCUUCUCUUUAAUAUAAUAAAAAAAACUUGAUUAGAAACAUCUGUACACACAUUAACAUUCAUAUGAAGCAUAAACAAAAACAGGUACUUUUACUCGUCUCAUCACAUCAUUCAAACCAAUACAAUAAUGAUAACAUUGCCGUUCUCUCAUCAAAAUGGCAAAAUCACCAGAAGAAGAACAUCCAGUAAAGGCCUUUGGGUGGGCAGCCCGAGACAGCUCCGGCCAUCUCUCCCCAUUCAACUUGUCGUGCGAGUUCAUUAAGUACUUUCUCUUAUUUUAUUUUAAGAAGGACAAAAGUAACUAAACCAUUUUGUUACUGUACGUGUUGAUGAAAUGGUCAUAAACGUGGAUAUGUAAAAUACGGACAGGGAAACGGGUGAUGAGGAUGUGAGGCUGAAGGUAUUGUAUUGUGGGAUCUGCCAUACUGAUCUCCACAACAUCAAGAAUGAAUGGGGCUUCUCUCUCUUCCCUAUGGUUCCUGGGUAUGUACCCAUGAUCUAUCUACCCUUCAAUUUUUGUUUCUUUUGCAUUUUUUUUUGUUUCGGGUCAAACCCAGCUACGCAUGAACAGGCUGUUGUUUCCGUCACGGCGCUCCCUAAUUAUUAACUACGGUACUUGCCUGUGUAUGCAGAAAGAGAUUAACCAAGGCCAAGGCUUUGGGAUCUUACCGUUCCAUAUUUGAUGUGAUGAAUAACUGGAAUCUCCUGGUAAAAGUGACAAACAUAUAUAUUUACGGGUCAUCAUCGUUUAAUAAGAUUUUCUUACAACAAAUUAAACAAAAAUAGAGACACACAAAUUUUAAUAUAAUAUAAAAUAAAAUAUAUUGGAUGAAAAUAUGUAUUUUUCUUAUACAUUAUCUUCAUAACUCUUGGUAGAUUUAUACUCUCUAUCUUAUAAAUAAAGGGUGGAAAUAACAAUUAACUCAAUUAAAGCGUUGUUAGCAUAGAUAUCUUCUUUUUUUCCCAAUAAAAUUAAUUUAUUUCCAUUUGACUCUGUACAAUUUUUAAAUAUUCCAGUGUAGUGGCCAGUGGGGUGCCUUGGCAUCAUUAGAGUGUGGAGAUCACACUAAAGACUUAACCCAUCAAAAUGGUACACCUGUGUAAUUGCGGAAUGGUCAAUUAUGAGAUUUUACUUGAGGGAUAGACGAGGUUGACAAAUAAACGGAGACAUGACUUGUAACUUGAAUUUGCAUUCAAAUGAAGACUUGUAAAUUUUCAAAUUUCAAAUUUCUUUGCUUGAAGAAUUUUAUGAUUGAGAAACUUACUGACAAAAGAAAAGUUGGUGGAGUGGUGUAGUAUAUACGUUUCCAGAAGCUAGCCAGUUAUAUAUUGUCAAAAACAGAAUCAAAUACCUUGUUUCCACUAAAGUAAUUUAUCCUAAACAAUUUGUAUUUAUUUGCAGGCAUGAAAUUGCAGGGGAAGUGACAGAAGUUGGCAGCAAAGUAAGAAAGGUUAAAGUGGGAGAUAAAGUUGGAGUUGGAUGCAUGGUUGGUGCAUGCCACAGCUGCGAGAGCUGUGCCAAUGACCUUGAAAAUUACUGUCCGAAAGUGAUACCCACCUACACUUCCAUUAACACUGACGGAACAAUCACAUACGGAGGCUACUCUGAUCAAAUGGUUGCCAAUGAGCGCUACAUUGUUCGAUUCCCUGAUAGCAUGCCCCUUGAUGCUGCUGCUCCCCUGCUUUGCGCCGGGAUUACCGUGUACAGUCCAUUGAAAUACUUUGAACUAGCAGAACAUGGAAAGCAUGUAGGCAUCGUUGG